RNAcentral lists this ribosomal RNA (561 nucleotides) under Pseudomonas mandelii. Its description in RNAcentral is "bacterial SSU rRNA". It matches the Rfam family "Bacterial small subunit ribosomal RNA", at positions 74 to 629 of the family's 1533-position model. Lineage: Bacteria; Pseudomonadati; Pseudomonadota; Gammaproteobacteria; Pseudomonadales; Pseudomonadaceae. The record is from RNAcentral.
GGGUACUUGUACCUGGUGGCGAGCGGCGGACGGGUGAGUAAUGCCUAGGAAUCUGCCUGGUAGUGGGGGAUAACGCUCGGAAACGGACGCUAAUACCGCAUACGUCCUACGGGAGAAAGCAGGGGACCUUCGGGCCUUGCGCUAUCAGAUGAGCCUAGGUCGGAUUAGCUAGUUGGUGAGGUAAUGGCUCACCAAGGCGACGAUCCGUAACUGGUCUGAGAGGAUGAUCAGUCACACUGGAACUGAGACACGGUCCAGACUCCUACGGGAGGCAGCAGUGGGGAAUAUUGGACAAUGGGCGAAAGCCUGAUCCAGCCAUGCCGCGUGUGUGAAGAAGGUCUUCGGAUUGUAAAGCACUUUAAGUUGGGAGGAAGGGCAGUUACCUAAUACGUAUCUGUUUUGACGUUACCGACAGAAUAAGCACCGGCUAACUCUGUGCCAGCAGCCGCGGUAAUACAGAGGGUGCAAGCGUUAAUCGGAAUUACUGGGCGUAAAGCGCGCGUAGGUGGUUCGUUAAGUUGGAUGUGAAAUCCCCGGGCUCAACCUGGGGAACUGCAUUCA